GGGCUUUAGAGGCCCGGAACUCCGCCCUUUACGCGCGAUGCUCUAGCCAAUCAUAGGCACGUCGUGUAGCGACAGCCAAUCGGAAAGGCCGGUUCACGGAACCGCGCCCCUGAAGCCUUCAGGGUUCGGCUGCAACGUGGCUGGUGCUGUGUGUUAGAGGUGUUUUUAGUCUGGUCGUUCACGUCCGGAUCUAUCCCGCGCCAUCGCGCUUUCAGUGAGGCAGAGCGUCAAAAUCCGAAUCGGAGAGGCAGAAUCAGAACGCUGUGCUGGGGAGUGAUAGACGAGUUGUUGGGGUGUUUGGCGACAUGUCUGUGACUCCAGGGGAGACGGAGGAUGCACCAAUUGUUAAUGCAGGGAGCCUUGCCGCGAUGGGAGAAGUGAGGGAAAUCGAGUAAGGCUUACCUUGAACUGGAACUCGAGUUUGUCUCAUCUCAGACUUCCGAGACCAGGUUCACCAUCGUCGGAUAGACCUAUUAAAUAACCAACUCUGGAAGCCAGAAGGGGUGGCUGCUAUAGAUAUUCUUCGAGUAUUUGGGACAGGGAGGUAGGUAGUACAACUGUUUUGUUCCUUUUUUGGGUUACUUUGCUUUAUUGGUGAUAUUGAGGUUCUCAGUUUGAUUUUUUUUGGGGGGACUAUCUGGAAUCGAACUCGGGACCUUGCACCUGCGAGGCAGGUGGCGGCCAAACCAGUUAUUUGAUAUGCAGUGUAUCUCUGCUAUCCUUGCUUUCUCUAGUGACUUCAUAUCCAGUGAUUAAACCUUUUCACUGCUGUUCACAUAAUGAACUGUUGUGAUUAUUGAGUACUUAAAUGAGGAUAUAUAAGUUUCACUAAAGGUAGUGUUACUGCCAGAGGCAUUGACCAUUGCAGAGAAGAAUUUUAAAGGAAAAUAUCUUUUUUAGGAAUUAUGCUUUUGAAGGCGCUGGGAAAAGACAUGUGGAACUUGGAAAAUAAUUGUUUGAAAAAUGCAGGAAAGGAUUAAAAUGGAAGGGUGUUUUUCUUAGAGAACAUCAUUUGUCAGAUUUAUUUGAUCAAGAAUUUGAAGAUUAUUAAGUUACCACCUAAACUGUUUGAACCAGAGGACAGUACUGGUGAAGAAUUGUUGAUUAAUGAAUCAGGAAGUCAUAGUGAACCUGAAGAUGAUUUUUUAGAAGUAUCAGAUGAUGGAUUUCAUUCUGAGAAUGAAGCUUCAUACCAUUCAGAGAAUUUGUUGAACUUAAUUUGGAAAAUCCAAUGCCUACUCUUCCUAAGUUUCCGUUCACCAAUACACCUGGUGUAAAUUUGUCAUUUAGACAGGAUACAGAGCCAGAUAUGUAUAUUAAUUUGAAUACAAUAAAAACUAAUAUGCUGACCAAUCAAAGCCUUCUGGAAUUAUAGGGAAGUUUUUUACAUUUGGACUGGAAACCAAGUAAUGCAGUUUUUUUUUCUAUGUAGCCUACAAGGAAUUAUAUAUAAGCCAAUAUGUAAGUGGUAUUGGUCUAAGGAAGAUUGUAUUGAAACCU
Fukomys damarensis (Damara mole-rat) is the source of this 1500-nucleotide long non-coding RNA. RefSeq lists it as uncharacterized. Lineage: Eukaryota; Metazoa; Chordata; Mammalia; Rodentia; Bathyergidae. The transcript is spliced from 6 exons. The record is from RefSeq and is a predicted model, not a curated record.